This 439-nucleotide ribosomal RNA is filed under the name uncultured bacterium. Its description in RNAcentral is "partial 16S ribosomal RNA". It matches the Rfam family "Bacterial small subunit ribosomal RNA", at positions 339 to 795 of the family's 1533-position model. The record is from RNAcentral.
CUACGGGUCGCUGCAGUGAGGAAUAUUGCACAAUGGGGGGAACCCUGAUGCAGCAACGCCGCGUGGAGGAUGACGCAUUUCGGUGUGUAAACUCCUUUUAUAUGUCAAGAAAAUGACGGUAGCAUAUGAAUAAGCACCGGCUAACUCCGUGCCAGCAGCCGCGGUAAUACGGAGGGUGCAAGCGUUACUCGGAAUCACUGGGCGUAAAGGACGCGUAGGCGGGUUGGAAAGUCAGGUGUGAAAUCCUACAGCUUAACUGUAGAACUGCACUUGAAACGUCUAAUAUAGAGUAUGGGAGGGGGAGAUGGAAUUAGAGGUGUAGGGGUAAAAUCCGUAGAUAUCACUAGGAAUACCUAAAGCGAAGGCGAUCUCCUGGAACAUUACUGACGCUAAGGCGUGAAAGCGUGGGGAGCAAACAGGAUUAGAUACCCUCGUAGUC